This 36-nucleotide ribosomal RNA is filed under the name Inocybe helobia. RNAcentral describes it as "partial 18S ribosomal RNA". Lineage: Eukaryota; Fungi; Basidiomycota; Agaricomycetes; Agaricales; Inocybaceae. The record is from RNAcentral.
CAGGUUUCCGUAGGUGAACCUGCGUAAGGAUCAUUA